AGGGCGGUAUUGACCUGGAAUGGUGUAAGGAGGCCGAGGGUGCGAUCCAGGUUGUUGUGCAUGGGCAUUAUAGUAUGGGCCACGCCACCCUGGAUAAGCAGGUUGACCAUAGUCAUGGUUUGCAGGUGGCUGUUGCUGGGUCUGUGGAGGUGGGUAUGGACUACCAGCUUGAGGAGGUGGGUAUGGACUACCAGCUUGAGGAGGUGCAUAUGGACUACCAGCUUGAGGAGGUGCAUAUGGACUUGUAGGUUGUGGUGGCACAUGGUAAGGAGAUGGCAUCUGCUGCGUUGAGCUAUAGGGGGGAGGGUGAGUAUAUCCAGCAAUUGCUGGCUGCUCAGGAGGAUGGUAGUAUGGUGGGGUUUGAGGACGAGGAUCUGUUGGCUGUUGUGAACCAGGUUGUCCCACAGAACGAUAGUUGUUGUCGUACGCACCUGUGGUUUUCGUAUCCUGGAAACUGAGGCCUGCCAUUUUUUUGUGAACAUCUUCAAUCAUUUCCUUGCACUGAAUGUUUCUAGUCAUCACAAAGUCAUUGCACUGCUGCUUUACAUUCGUUAUUGCAUCCUGUCGAAGACGGACAAAUCAAUCAACCACCAGAACACGAAGUCAUGGAAAUUUCAAACACAACUAGGUGAAGAUUGAUAGCAUGCUGUCACAGCAGACACCAGAAGAGAUCCAACUAUAACAAAGAAAAUAGUGAUCUCAAAUAGCUAUAAAGUAAAGUGCACAUUAUUCAAAAUUACCUGAAGAGUAACAUAGAACUUUAAGCCCUCAUUUAUGUUCUCCUUAAUUUCGCGGAACUUUGCUAUGGCAGCUUGAAUCUGCUUGUAACAUUUCUCACGAGAUGCUGGAACAAAAUGAGAAGGAAACAAACAGGAAAAAUAUAAGAAUACACUCCACCUUAAUUAUAAUAUGCAAACAGAUAGCAUGACAGAAGCAAGGAAAUAGAUUCCAUGUCGUAAGAUAAUCAGAGGACUUCCCUACAAACAUAUUCAAUAUAUGACAAUGAAAACAGCCAACAGAGAAAAAGGCACUUGAAAUAAUAGAUUGUAAGAUAUCAUCAUGGCCAGCAGAACGGGUAAGAGCAAAUAAAAACUUGAGAAACAACAUUUAAUAAACAUGUAAAACACCCAUGUUACACAUGGGUCAGAAUAAUCAAUAUUCCAGAUUGUUUGCAGGCAUAAAUCUGUCUUUUAUCCAACGAAGUGAACAAGGGACAACGUUUCUAAAUUGCCAUAUAUUCAUUUACUAGUUAAUAUGAUAAUCAGUUACGGGGUCAAUAACAUGAUUGAGAUCUCAUUCUGGACAUUUUAUAUUACACCGUCUCUCUUCCCAUGGUAAAGGAAACAAUUUUUUCCAGAUUGAGAUAUAAGUGAACUCCAAAAGGUAGACGUGCACCCUCACCCAACCCACAGGCCCAAGCAUUUAACAAGGUCAUCAAGGGUAGAAUAAUACAACCAAUGAACAUCUACGACUAAAUAAUGCAUCAAUAGGUGUUACCUUAAAGCAUACAAACCAUUUAAAGCAUAAAAGACCUACCUUUAUAAUCUUCUAGAUUGAAGAUUGCAGCAAACUCAGCAUUUUGGGCCUGCAGAUGACAAACACACAUUUUGAUCAUGAGAUAUUUGAGAGCUUAAAUCCAUUUCCAUUUAUUUAGGAAUAUUAUACAAGGAAAGGAAUUUUCAAAACCCAUAGCAAAUACUACAGAUGAAUCUACAAAACAUGAAAUGACAGACAGCUCCUUGGUAAGCAAAUGAUAAUAUGGCAAGUGGCAACUGACUUGAUUUGACAAAGGCAUUUCAUUUCUUUUAACAAAAAAGAAUAAUAGGGUAGUACCACUAUAGCAUAUAUUUUCUCAUCAGACCUCUUCCAAGAUGAUAAAGAGAAUUAAGCCACAGAGUCUGCCACACCGCAUAUUAUUUAACCUUAUCCCUCUACCCACAAUAUAUCCAAUUGGGUCUUUUGAAAGUUACCAAUAAGUAGAACAACAAUGUGCAAAACGAAAGGUGUUGAUUCCAUCAGAAUGUUUUCUAUUCAGUUAUAUCUUAAACCACAAUAUACUGAUUUGGUCUUUGCAAAGUUAAAAAUAAGUAGCACAAAAAUGUACAAAACUAAAGGUUUUGAUACGACAAGAAUAUCGUCCAGUCAAUCUAGUUGCAUAUUAAAAUGAUAGGUACUGCUCAAUGUACGACAUUACCAAUUGCACACUCAAAACAGAUGUGGGAAAAAAAUGAAGAAAUAUGCAUAAAGAAAGUCCAACAACAAUAAAAAGGAAACAGACCUGGAUUUGCUGCAAUAAUUGUUCUUGUGCCUCAAUAUUAUGGGCAAUGUCUUCACUUAUGAGAUCAUACUUAGAUAUCUCCUUCCUGAAAAGAUCCUCAUAGGAGACAGUUGAUGUCAUCAACUU
This 2404-nucleotide long non-coding RNA is filed under the name Malus domestica (apple). Its description in RNAcentral is "long non-coding RNA (MDOM_LNC011749)". Lineage: Eukaryota; Viridiplantae; Streptophyta; Magnoliopsida; Rosales; Rosaceae. The record is from RNAcentral.